AGCAGCCACGUUAGUUUGUGCUAUAAAUUCUUUAGAGAACAUCCUCAAAAGUGCAUCUUCGCUGGCCGCUACGAAGGAGCAUUGUUCGUGUUUCCAGACUUUCGCGGCUGCCAAGAUGAAGUACUACUCUUCAGUCGUCGCUUUGCUUCUGGUGCCAGCCGUUAUCCUGGACCUCUUCGGGGGACUUUUGCCGGGUAAGGAUCCUGAACCUCCCCUCCUCGCUGACCGCUACUGGAAUACCUUCGGUUGACCAGACGUGUCUCUACCACCGGUUCUUUCAUGGUCGAAGGUCAAAUGGAAGCUAUCAAAUCAGGCCGCAAGUCAAGUUCUUCCCGGAGGUCAAAUGAAAGCCCUGGCUCCGGCAGCGGAGGCUGCCGGAGUCAGGGCUUUGGAGCCAGGUAGCCCAGAAGCCAGGGCUGCCGGAGCCACGGCUCCUACCUUUGUUUUUAGCGCAAGUGUCGUGCCGUGAUAUCCUUGUUUACUGCGCUUCACUUGCACUGUCUUCUAUUAGGUAUUUGUGGACAAAAUUGAUGGGAAUAAAGGUGCACCUUGC
Molecule: long non-coding RNA, 553 nt
Organism: Dermacentor andersoni
Lineage: Eukaryota; Metazoa; Arthropoda; Arachnida; Ixodida; Ixodidae
Source: RefSeq, a predicted model, not a curated record